RNAcentral lists this ribosomal RNA (504 nucleotides) under uncultured bacterium. RNAcentral describes it as "bacterial SSU rRNA". It matches the Rfam family "Bacterial small subunit ribosomal RNA", at positions 16 to 507 of the family's 1533-position model. The record is from RNAcentral.
AUCCUGGCUCAGGAUGAACGCUAGCGACAGGCCUAACACAUGCAAGUCGAGGGGCAGCAUGGUAUCAGCUUGCUGAUACCGAUGGCGACCGGCGCACGGGUGAGUAACGCGUAUGUAAUCUGCCUGUUAACAGAGGGAUAACCCCGGAGAAAUCCGGCCUAAUACCUCAUAGCACAUAUUAUUCGCAUGAGUUUUAUGUUAAAGAUUUAUCGGUGUACGAUGGGGAUGCGUUCCAUUAGGUAGUAGGCGGGGUAACGGCCCACCUAGCCGACGAUGGAUAGGGGUUCUGAGAGGAAGGUCCCCCACAUUGGAACUGAGACACGGUCCAAACUCCUACGGGAGGCAGCAGUGAGGAAUAUUGGUCAAUGGGCGAGAGCCUGAACCAGCCAAGUAGCGUGAAGGAUGAAGGUCCUACGGAUUGUAAACUUCUUUUAUACGGGAAUAAAGUAUCCUACGUGUAGGAUUUUGUAUGUACCGUAUGAAUAAGCAUCGGCUAACUCCGUG